Megalopta genalis is the source of this 791-nucleotide long non-coding RNA. RefSeq lists it as uncharacterized. NCBI's taxonomy places the organism in Eukaryota, Metazoa, Arthropoda, Insecta, Hymenoptera, Halictidae. The record is from RefSeq and is a predicted model, not a curated record.
UGGUCCGUACUACUGCCGUUUGAAUUUUGAUUCUGUGCAGUAUAUGUCGUUCGUUUCGGCUGCAUCUGCAUUGUUUGUCUACUUUUCAGCAAGGGCUUCGUCCAAUUCGUAUGGGACGACGGCGGCAUUAUUUCGUCUUUUAUUUGACCACAAUCACGAGCUUUCAUCCGUAUAUACUGCACACUGUAUAAUAACGCAGGUUAUAACCUGUACCUGUACAGUGCGGAAGGCGACGCUCGCGCGGCCACGGAUCGGGUUUCGGACACCACAGUGCUUUCAAUACGCCCUGUCAGGUACUGUGUGCAUCGCUCGAAAACAAUGGGGGAACGUACACCGUGCAGGAACGAUGAAAAAAAAGAGUAAAAAAAGAAAUUGAUCCACCUGCCGCGACGCGGAGCCACCUGUUAUUACGCUUUUCUUGCGGCGGUUGCGAGUUCCGACAACCGGUGGUACAGGAAAAUGUGACGGCGGCGCAUGAUAUAGGUUACGAUAUUUAUAACUGGUUAAUGAAAAUCCGACCGGUGUUAUGCACUUGCAGUUUCUUUUUCAACGCAAUUAAAUACAGGCUAGUCACGCCACCUGCUGCAAGAGGUAGACCUUCCAGAGCUGCAACAAAGAAAAAAAAAGAAGCGACGUCAGGACGGCUUUUGGUAAACACGUGUAGCAAGAGACACAUAUACAAAGCUUCGUUAGUGAUAAUCUGGUAUUCUAUAUAUACUAUGUUUCUACUAUGAGUACUUAAUAUAAUUUGGGUAAAAUAAUAAAAGUGGGUACUCGAUCAUUAAACGGUG